UACGUAGGGGGCAAGCGUUGUCCGGAUUCAUUGGGCGUAAAGCGCGCGUAGGCGGCUCCGCAAGUCGGCCGUGAAAUCUCCGGGCUCAACUCGGAGGGGUCGGGCGAGACUGCGGGGCUCGAGGUGGGCAGAGGGCAGUGGAAUUCCGGGUGUAGUGGUGGAAUGCGUAGAGAUCCGGAGGAACACCAGUGGCGAAGGCGGCUGCCUGGGCCUGGCCUGACGCUGAGGCGCGAAAGCUAGGGGAGCAAACGGG
Molecule: ribosomal RNA, 253 nt
Filed under: uncultured bacterium
Lineage: Bacteria
Description: partial 16S ribosomal RNA
Rfam family: Bacterial small subunit ribosomal RNA
Source: RNAcentral